Molecule: ribosomal RNA, 537 nt
Filed under: uncultured Acidobacteriota bacterium
Lineage: Bacteria; Pseudomonadati; Acidobacteriota
Description: bacterial SSU rRNA
Rfam family: Bacterial small subunit ribosomal RNA
Source: RNAcentral
UUGAUCCUGGCUCAGAAUCAACGCUGGCGGCGUGCCUAACACAUGCAAGUCGAACGCGAAAGUUCCGCAAGGAAUGAGUAGAGUGGCAAACGGGUGAGUUACACGUGGGUGACCUGCCUUCGAGUGGGGGAUAACGUCCCGAAAGGGACUCUAAUACCGCAUAACAUCCUGUCUUUUAACAGGUGGAGAUCAAAGCCGGUGAUCGCAAGACCUGGCGCUUGAAGAGGGGCCCGCGUCCGAUUAGCUAGUUGGUGGGGUAACGGCUCACCAAGGCGACGAUCGGUAGCCGGCCUAAGAGGUCGGACGGCCACACUGGGACUGAGACACGGCCCAGACUCCUACGGGAGGCUGCAGUGGGGAAUUGUUCGCAAUGGGCGCAAGCCUGACGACGCAACGCCGUGUGGAGGAUGAAGACCUUCGGGUCGUAAACUCCUUUCGAUCGAGACGAAUGGCCCCUGGGUGAACAGCCCGGGGGAGUGACGGUACCGAGAGAAGAAGCUCCGGCUAACUCCGUGCCAGCAGCCGCGGUAAUAAGGU